This 208-nucleotide ribosomal RNA is filed under the name uncultured bacterium. RNAcentral's name for it is "partial 16S ribosomal RNA". It matches the Rfam family "Bacterial small subunit ribosomal RNA", at positions 567 to 774 of the family's 1533-position model. The record is from RNAcentral.
UUGCGUAGGUGGCAUAGUAAGUAGAUAGUGAAAGCGUGGGGCUCAACCUCAUAUCCAUUAUCUAAACUGCUAAGCUAGAGGGCGAGAGAGGUAACUAGAAUUCCUUGUGUAGGAGUGAAAUCCGUAGAUAUAAGGAGGAAUACCGAUGGCGUAGGCAGGUUACUGGCUCGUCCCUGACACUAAGGCACGAAAGCGUGGGGAGCAAACG